Molecule: long non-coding RNA, 1021 nt
Filed under: Homo sapiens (human)
Lineage: Eukaryota; Metazoa; Chordata; Mammalia; Primates; Hominidae
Description: HSALNT0395090
Source: RNAcentral
CUCUCAGCCUCAUCUGACCCAGCCCCUAUUCAAGAUGGAGACGCCCUGGUUCAGACGCCUCUGACAGAUGCUCCAAGAUGAUGUGAAGCAGAUACAAGUGCCCUUCUUGUCUCAUGGACUCAAUCAGGAGAUAUGAAGAUUGACAACUGAUUGGCAAAAGUGAAGUCACUGUGUGACCUGUCCUGAAAAGAUGGUGGCUGCAUCUAGAAACAGUGACGUGUUUGGGGAACAAUGGAGUAGAGUCAGAGACGCACCUACUAAGACAUUUUGGCUGCUGGGCACCUGAACAUGAGCAAUGUGAAGCUUCCGGUCAUAAAAGGCCCUGCAGCUUCCUCCAGGUUCUUUUGGAGCACUUGACUCUGCAGACACCCCCAGGCCCCAUGAUCAAGAGUCCUGGACAUGCCGAGGCUUUACUGCACCUCACCCAGCUCAGGAACCAGAUGUGAGCAAAAACGCUUCCAGGUGAGAACAGUCGGCAGUUGUUUGACGCUCCCGGAGUGAUCCUAAAAUCAUGAGCCUCGUGAAGCCUUAGGCAUCAUGGAGUUGGAACAAAACUCUCUAAAUUUCUGGCCCACAGAAUCCAUGAGCAUAGUACAAUAGUUGUCACCUUACAACACUAAGUUUAGGGUGGUUUAUUACACAGAACUAUAUAACCAGAAAGACCCAGGACAGGAUGAGAGUCACAGCAGACGAAGCAUCGUGCACCAUUUCACUGAGAGUAUGUAAACUUGUCACUGUAUAGAGGUGCUGUGGUUGUGGGGGUUGAGCUGAUCCCACAGGAGACCCUAUAGCUGUCUCCUGUGCCAGGUGCCAGGAAGUGGCUAUGUCUUAGGCCCAGAAUGUUUGGUCUCAUUGGGGUGGGGUGGGCAGAGAGGGAAGGGCAAGUAUUUGAAAAGGGAAAGCACCUUGGUAAUAAACUUUGGACACUUAAUUUGACUAUUAUUUCAGAAAUGACUAUAAUCUGCCAGGCGCGGUGAUUCACACCUGUAAUCCCAGCACUUUGCGAGGUCAAGGCGGGAGG